UACGUAGGUGGCAAGCGUUGUCCGGAGUUAUUGGGCGUAAAGCGCGCGCAGGCGGUUGGAUAAGUCCAUGGUGAAAGCGCCUGGCUCAACUAGGCGAGUGCCGAUGGGGACUGGUUCAGCUGGAGUGGAGCAGAGGCGAGUGGAAUUCCGGGUGUAGUGGUGAAAUGCGUAGAGAUCCGGAGGAACACCAGAGGCGAAGGCGGACUCGCUGGGCUUUGACUGACGCUGAGGCGCGAAAGCGUGGGGAGCGAACCGG
This 256-nucleotide ribosomal RNA is filed under the name uncultured bacterium. RNAcentral describes it as "partial 16S ribosomal RNA". It matches the Rfam family "Bacterial small subunit ribosomal RNA", at positions 524 to 776 of the family's 1533-position model. The record is from RNAcentral.